RNAcentral lists this ribosomal RNA (486 nucleotides) under uncultured Pseudomonadota bacterium. RNAcentral's name for it is "bacterial SSU rRNA". It matches the Rfam family "Bacterial small subunit ribosomal RNA", at positions 35 to 516 of the family's 1533-position model. Lineage: Bacteria; Pseudomonadati; Pseudomonadota. The record is from RNAcentral.
GCUGGCGGUAGGCUUAACACAUGCAAGUCGUGCGAGAAAGCAUCUUCGGAUAUGAGUAGAGCGGCGGACGGGUGAGUAACGCGUAGGAAUCUACCUAGUAGAAGGGGAUAGCCCGGGGAAACUCGGAUUAAUACCGUAUACCUCCUUCGGGAGAAAGAAGGCCUCUCUUUGAAGCUUUCGCUACUAGAUGAGCCUGCGUAAGAUUAGCUUGUUGGUGAGGUAAAGGCUCACCAAGGCGACGAUCUUUAGCGGGUCUGAGAGGACGAUCCGCCACAUUGGGACUGAGACACGGCCCAGACUCCUACGGGAGGCAGCAGUGGGGAAUAUUGGACAAUGGGCGCAAGCCUGAUCCAGCCAUACCGCGUGUGUGAAGAAGGCCCUAGGGUUGUAAAGCACUUUAAGUUGGGAAGAAAAGUUAUUGGUUAAUACCCAAUAGCCGUGACAUUACCAUCAGAAUAAGGACCGGCUAAUUCCGUGCCAGCAGCC